AUUGAACGCUGGCGGCAUGCCUUACACAUGCAAGUCGAACGGCAGCGGGGACUUCGGUCCGCCGGCGAGUGGCGAACGGGUGAGUAAUGUAUCGGAACGUACCUUUCAGUGGGGGAUAACGUAGCGAAAGUUACGCUAAUACCGCAUAUUCUCUGAGGAGGAAAGCAGGGGACCUUCGGGCCUCGCGCUGAUGGAGCGGCCGAUAUCAGAUUAGCUAGUUGGUGGGGUAAAGGCUCACCAAGGCUACGAUCUGUAGCGGGUCUGAGAGGAUGAUCCGCCACACUGGGACUGAGACACGGCCCAGACUCCUACGGGAGGCAGCAGUGGGGAAUUUUGGACAAUGGGCGAAAGCCUGAUCCAGCCAUGCCGCGUGAGUGAAGAAGGCCUUCGGGUUGUAAAGCUCUUUCGGACGGGAAGAAAUCAUGAGGGCUAAUAUCCCUUGUGGAUGACGGUACCGUAAUAAGAAGCACCGGCUAACUACGUGCCAGCCGCCGCGGUAA
Molecule: ribosomal RNA, 500 nt
Filed under: uncultured bacterium
Lineage: Bacteria
Description: partial 16S ribosomal RNA
Rfam family: Bacterial small subunit ribosomal RNA
Source: RNAcentral